GGCUGUGGUUUUCGUGGAGUGCACUUAGAAUCAGGACGUGAAUUAAGUUUGUGGUGUGUUCCCGCAUUCCGAGGGUGCUUGCACAGAACUUUAGUGGGACCCGCGCUUCUGUCCUUUGAAAAUUGGUUUUUCUGGAAAUAACCCCGUGUUGGGAUCCCCCAGGGAAAUGAAGAAACCUCGUGGUUGAGUUUCUGCUCCGCCGCCCACCUAGGGUGAGCGGCUAAAACGCCGAAAGCGUCCUGCCUUCGAGCCAGAGCCGAACACCGUAUACCUCUAUCACACUUGCCCAACCUGUCUUUUCUGAAUUUCUUUCUAUUUCAGCCAUUGGUAGCAGAAGCCAGUCAACGCCACCACUACACAAAGAAUCAAAGACAAGCUGGGUUGGAAAUCCGUCUGGUCCGUUCCCACCCCCACUUUGCAGGAUCUAACCAGUGGGGCUCUUUUGUACCCUGAUGACUAUGAACAUUUGUUCUAUUGACUACACUAGUUGGAGAUUUGCUUGAAUGUAAAUAAGAAGCUGAUGAUGGUUGACCCAACCUAUGGCUGGAAGAAUGAGAGUGCAGCCAAGUACUUAAAUGAGGUCCCAUUAUCGGCCUUUAGUGAACUGGCUGCUCUUCUCUCACGGCUUUGCAACCAGCACAGAGCCCAAAGCGGGGCUUGAACUCAUGACCUG
Leopardus geoffroyi (Geoffroy's cat) is the source of this 673-nucleotide long non-coding RNA. RefSeq lists it as uncharacterized. Lineage: Eukaryota; Metazoa; Chordata; Mammalia; Carnivora; Felidae. The transcript has 3 exons. The record is from RefSeq and is a predicted model, not a curated record.